Scylla paramamosain (green mud crab) is the source of this 5072-nucleotide long non-coding RNA. RefSeq lists it as uncharacterized. Lineage: Eukaryota; Metazoa; Arthropoda; Malacostraca; Decapoda; Portunidae. The record is from RefSeq and is a predicted model, not a curated record. The transcript has 3 exons.
CAAGUGAAUGGCAUCUACCAUCACCAUGACAACGGGUCGUGAAUAGCCAAUCCCAGCCCGCCAUUUCAUCCGGGACCUCAAGAUGACCACACUGAUACAAUAUAGUUUAAUUUCCAGCCAAGAUCAGAGUUAACCGAGACAUAUAUGGUGGAUAAAAAGCUCUUAAAAAUAUGGGUGUUCCGAGGAAAGUAUACCACUAGGGAAUGUGGGUUACAUUAGUAAUGGAGGAAUAUUUUGACAGCAGACGAAACUAAAGUGUUGCCAUGGUGACGGUGGUGGUGGGCAUGAUACAGAUGCGGGAGGUGGAGUUUGUGCCCGAUGGAGACAUGCAGCUGGACAAAUUGUGUUGCUCAUUGGUCAGACUGGAGUUUACAUGUGUACCUCCUUCACCAUCAUUGGUGGACACUUCACCAUGAGUGAUGCUUGAGCUGUCACGGUGCUGCUGCUGUUGUCUGCCAUCAUCCCCCUGACACAGACCACCCUGCAGACCACCUUCAUCCUGGGUGCCACACGUCACUGCUGCUACAACUCAGAGCAACUGGAGCGCAAGCCAGGAAGGGAGUUAGUAACUUUUCACUUAAUUUGUUGUUUAUUUGAGGGCCUAAUGACAGACACAUAAUGGAAUGAGUAUUUGUGAAUGUUUGUUUAUAUCUAGAUACAGCAUUCACAUAUCUUUUAAGUGCCACCUUCCAAAAACAAUGUCAGCCAGAAAAAUAACUGAUGAAUCUAAUUACAUUUCAAGUCAAAAAGUUUUCCUUUAACCACUUUGCUCCAGAUGCUUAAAAACAUGCGUUGCUCACAUACAUGGCGUCGCGUAGGCUCGUGAGUGGUAACUUAUCUAAUUUCUAAUAAUUUCUAAUAUAAUUUCUGUGUGUGUGUGUGUGUGUGUGUGUGUGUGUGUGUGUGUGUGUGUGUGUGUGUGUGUGUGUGUGUGUGUGUGUGUGUUUUAUGUAUGAGUGACACUGGCCAAGGGCAACAAAAAUCCAAUAAAAAAAUAUGCCCACUGAAAUGGCAGUCCCAUAAAAGGGUCAAAGCAGUGGUCAAAAGUUGAUGAAUAAGUGUCUUGAAACCUCCCUCUUGAAGGAAUUCAAGUCAUAGGAAGGUGGAAAUACAGAAGCAGGCAGGGAGUUCCAGAGUUUACCAGAGAAAGGGAUGAAUGAUUGAGAAUACUUGUUAACUCUUGCAUUAGAGAAGUGGACAGAAUAGGGGUGAGAGAAAGAAGAAAAUCUUGUGCAGCGAGGCCGUGGAAGGAGGGGAGGCAUGCAGUUAGCAAGAUCAGAAGAGCAGUUAGCAUGAAAAUAGCGGUAGAAGACAGCUAGAGAUGCAACAUUGCGGCAGUGAGAGAGAGGCUGAAGACAGUCAGUUAUGUUUGUGUGUGUGUGUGUGUGUGUGUGUGUGUGUGUGUGUGUGUGUGUGUGUGUGUGUGUGCGCUGAUGCAGCUGAGAAGGUUGCCUUAUGAUAAUUAUUGACAAAUGAAGGUAAUGGAUGCGCAUGUCAUUACUACUUUUUUAAGUGUGUGUGUUAUGUACACACACACACACACACACACACACACACACACACACACACACACACACACACACACACACACACACACACACAAAGAGAAGUAAUAGACACGCAUCCUUUACCUUCAUUCAUCAAUAAUUGUCAUAAGACGACCUUCCCAGCUGCAUCAUUACACACACACACACACACACACACACACUUACACACCACGUAGUGUAGUGGUUAGCACGCUCGGCUCACAACCAAGAAGGCCCAGGUUCGAAUCCCGGGCACGGUGAGGCAGAUGGACAAGCCUCUUAAUGUGUAGCCCUCUUAAUGUGUAGCCUCUUAAUGUGUAGGUACAGGAUGUAACCCGAGGUGAUGUGACUUUGCUGCCCCGGUGUGUGGUGUGUCAUUGGCCUCAGUCCUACCCAAAGAUCAGUCACCAUGAGCUCUGAGCUCUUACACACACACACACACACACACACACACACACACACACACACACACACACACACACAGAGAGAGAGAGAGAGAGAGAGAGAGAGAGAGAGAGAGAGAGAGAGAGAGAGAGAGAGAGAGAGAGAGAGAGAGAGAGAGAGAGCAAAAUGGCAAUGAAUGAAACAGGGAGGAGGGGGAACUGUGUGUGAAGGAAAACAUCAUCUACGUGAAACAUUUGAUUGAUUAUAAAGCACAUGUGCAUCAUAUAUAGUCAUGAAUGUGGAGGAACAGCAGAGUGAGUGAUCAACCACAGAAAGGAGAGAGUCGGACAUGCGGAGAGAAUGGAAGGGGAACAAUUUGAGAAGAUAAGCAUGCAAAUACAUAAAUAUAAGGUGGAAUAACAGUGUUUGGUGGGAAGAUGAAAGAGAGAUGCCUGUUUAUGAAGCAAAAUGGUUGUGCAAGAGAGGAAUGAUUGGAAAACCAUUCCCACCAAAGCCAACAGACCUUACACCAUAUUUUUACAAACCACAGCAUCUCUAUUCAUCCAUUCUGUGUGUCUUCUCUUCUCUCUCUCUCUCCACUCUUAAUGCUGCUGUGGGUCUCUGGGCUGGAGUACAUCAGAGAAAGAUUGACACCGACUUAUAUAUGAGAGGAUGUUGUCUGUAACUAUGCUAUGGGGACAUUGCAAGUUUGUGGGGUGUAGUGAAUGAAUAAGUGUGUCCUCUAUAGCAUACUUAAAAACCACACUCUCACAUGGAAAUCAAUCUCUCUCUCUCUCUCUCUCUCUCUCUCUCUCUCUCUCUCUCUCUCUCUCUCUCUCUCUCUCUCUCUCUCUCUCUCUCUCUCUCUCUCUCUCUCUCUCUCUCUCUCUCUCUCUCUCUCUCUCUCUCUCUCUCUCUCUCUCUCUCUCUCUCUCUCACUACAGCCUACAGACUCACUAUUUCCUUAACCACACCUCUUGCCUGAAACAAAUUAAAAACUUUUAUCCUUCUCCAAUCACAUUUCAAUUUUGUACUUAGUCACAAUCACACAGUAUAUGUUGUUAAUUUCAACUUUACUUUCAGGUUACCUUCUUGUUGAUGUGCAAUCUUGCUACGUGGGCAAUCAACAUUUAAAAAUAGCAAUGUGGUGCUUCCUUAAUGCAAAUAGUCUUGGCCCAAAAAAACUUUUGAUGUCAAACACUAACUUCUCUUAAAUCUUACUAAAAAGUAUGCGCAUCACUUUCUGAUUUCAUCCCAAUGGCACACAAACCAAAAUACCUGAGUAUGGAGAUGGCUGGACUACCUCCUUUGGCCACCCCUGUUAUAUCUUAAUUUCCCAGUCUUUCCUGUGUGCUGGUUAAGCUACUCACUGCUGAAGUCCCUGGAAACUAGGUAGAAUAAUUUAGAAUGACAUGGUUAAGUUAAUGCUGAUAAAAUCUCAUUUGUAAUAUUCAGGAAGAUUGAAUUAUUCUUCCUCUGUUGAAGCAAAUGAUAUAACAUUGACUAGAAGCUUUCACAAUAUUUAUAAGCUUUCUUGUAUCAGAGAUCUUUUGAAAAUCCAACCAUUAAUUUGUAAAUACUUGUAUAGUGUAGCUGGCAUGAGGGUUGCAGUCUUCAUUAUUUACUAGUGGACAAGCAACAAGUGAUGGUGUGGCUCUGAGCCACUGUAGUAGGGAUGUUAUGGUUUAAGUGUAGGAAGUUGCAAAUGCUCACCUAACAAUUGCACCUUAGUAGAAAAACACAAACAGGAAGUUUAUGCAAGUUUUUAUCCUUAUAUAAAAUGUUGUAUUGCAUCAAACCUCCAUACAUUACUGUCUCUAUCCAGUAUGAGACCGGUGUUCAGGAAGCACAAGCAUGUGCUGAAUAACAAGAAGCCGGCAUUGGUGAAGGUGACAACAUUUCAUCUAUUUAUACAUACUUUUUAUUAUUAAAGCUUAUCUUAUAAUUAUUUCUGAAGAGAUUGACUAAUUUUUGUAGUAUUUAUGACUUAGAACUAUGAUAAAGCUAUGAAUUGAUAUAAUUCCUGAUUUGUUUUAUCUUUUCAUUAUCCUUCCUUUGUUAAUUGAGCAUUUUAUAUUACUUAGCUUAAAAAUGCAAGAACGGUUCAGAAGUAUCCAACCUUGGGCUAAGGGCCAAAAUUAUGGUAUCAUUCAAAAUGUCCUUCAAAGAAAGCCCUCUGUAAUCCAACACACUUAGCCCAUUAAUCCUUCCAUUUCUCAUCAAUUUGUUCAACAUUCAUAUUUUUUCCCUUAUAGGGUUGAACAAUUUUCAUGGGUUCAGAGCAAAAGGCUUCCUCAUUCCUCCCCAAGGUAUUCUCGGAUGGUAAGCAGGUUUGACUCUGGAGCAAACCUGACCAAGGGCUACUGCCCAAGGCUACAGAGGUUCCUCUCCCUGAGGCUGAAUGCACCAUGUGAGAUGGUUCUGUUAUGUGGAUGAAUGUCAUGGUGGAUAGCAGUGCCACCACAUUCCUACAAUCAUCCAUCACUCCACUGCUCAAAUGCUUCUGCAACCAAUGAUAGGUAUGCUGCCACAUUCUGCAUGGUCUCCUUGGCUCUCAGAUAAGGAUACUGUCAACAGGUUUGGGAUUGCCAAAAAAUCAUAAGGAGCUAUGUCUGAAAAGUCCAGAGAGAGAGAGAGAGAGAAAGAAUGAGCAAGAGAAAGAGUAGGAUGAAGCAAAGGAAGAGUCAAGAGGGAGGAAGAGAGAGUAGGACAAGAAAAAACAGAACAAAUAAAUCCCCUACACGUCUUGUCUCCAUUCACACAAGCCAUGAAAAGCUUGUCCAUCCCUGAGUGCUCAGAAGCAGUGUUCCACUGAUGAUGUGGAAACUUGAGACACCCAAUCAUUUAAUGGGCUUUAGUAGGUUUUGUCACCAGUCUUCUGUGUGUCACUGACUACAUUUUGAAAUUUUUAUCUGUUCUAUUUAAUUUUGUGUGUAUGUACACAAUGUUUAUGGUCAAUAAACUAUUUAUAAAACUAUUUAUCUGUGUGAGUAAGAUAAAAGCAGUUAUUGUUAUUAUUAUUAUUAUUAUUAUUAUUAUUAUUAUUAUUAUUAUUAUUAUUACACAUUUUCCUCCUUGUAUUUAAAUAUUAUUAUUAUUAUUAUUAUUAUUAUUAUUAUUAUCAUGAAUUGUUCUUGUUUAUAAAUAAAAUACUGUAACUGA